CCCUUAGAUGUUCUGGGCAGCACGCGCGCUACAAUGGUCUUCGCAAACGGAUGCAUUCUCGAAGGAGAAUGCCAAUCUUGGAAUCUAUGCCUUGGUCGGGACAGUUGCUUGCAAUUUUUCGACUCGAACCAGGAAUUCCUUGUAAUCGUGAUUCAUCACAUCACGAUGAAUACGUCCCUGCCCUUUGUACACACCGCCCGUCGCUCCUACCGAUCGAAGAGUUAGGUGAAUUGUUUUGAUCGAUAAGAUUUGACUAUGGUCAACUCUCGUUGUGAAAUUCUGUGAAUUUGACUGUUUAGAGGAAGGAAAAGUCGUAACA
Molecule: ribosomal RNA, 319 nt
Filed under: uncultured eukaryote
Lineage: Eukaryota
Description: partial 18S ribosomal RNA
Rfam family: Eukaryotic small subunit ribosomal RNA
Source: RNAcentral